GACGCCCUGGGUAGAGUAACAAUAAGGAAAUAUUUGAUAAGUAUGGAUGAAACCAAGGGCAGAUUAACCAAAACGAAAGAUUUGAAAGGUAUGGACGAUACCCUGGGUAGAGUAACAACAAAGAAAUAUUUGAAAAUGUAGAGAAACAAAACAAGUGUAGAGAAACAAAAAGAAAAGAAGAUUAGAAAGGUAUGGAUGGCACCCAGUGUAGAGUAACAAAAAAGUAGAAAUUGAAAGGUACGGAUGACACCCUGGGUAGAAUAACAAUAGAGUAAGAUUUGAUAGGUAGGAAUGAAACCAAGGGUAGAGCAACAAAAAAAAAGAAAGACCUGUAAGGGUAGAGUAACAAAACACAAGAUUUGAAUAGUACGGAUGAAACUUAGGGUAGUGUAAUAAAAAAGGAAGAUUAAAAGGUAUGGAUGACACCCUGGGUAGAGUAACAAAAUUGAAAGAUUUGAUAGGUAUGGAUGAAAUCAGGGGUAGAGUCAUUAAAAAAAAGAGAAUUGAAAGGUUUGAAUCAUUACCCAGUGUAGAGUAACAGAAAGGAAAGAUUCUAGAGGUAUGGAUGAAACCAAGGGUUUAGAAAAGAAAAAAAAGAUUUGAAAGGUAUGGAUAACACAUUUGGUAGAGUAACAAUAUAAAAACAAAUUGAUAUGUAUGGAUAAAACCAAGGGUAACAAAAAAGAAAGAUUUGAAAGUUAUGGAUGACUCCCUGGGUAGAGUAACUAAGAGGAAAGAUAUGAUAGGUAUGGAUGAAACCAAGAGUAGAUUAACUCAAAGAAAAGAUAUGAUAGGUUAUGAUGAAACAAGCGUAGAGAAACAAAAAUGAAAGAUUUGAAAGGUAUGGAUGACAAUCAAGUGUAGAGUAACAAAAAAGGAAAAGGUAUGGAUGAAUCAAGGGUUGAGUAACAAAAAAGAACAAAUAAAGAUCUUUGAAAGGUAUGGGUGAAACUAAGGGUAGAGUAACAAAAAAGAAAGAUCUGAAAGGUAUCAGGACACCCUGGGAAGAGUAACAAUAAAUAAAGAUUGGAAAGGUAUGGAUGAAAUGAAGGGUCGAGUAACAAAAAUGAUAGAUUAGGAAGGUAUGAAUGAAAUUAAGGGUAGAGUACCAAAAAAGAAAGAUUUGAAAGGUAUGGAUGACACCCAGUGUAGAAAAACAAAAGGAAUUCUUUGAUAAAGGUAUGGAUGAAACCAAGG
This 1197-nucleotide long non-coding RNA is filed under the name Penaeus japonicus. Its description in RNAcentral is "uncharacterized LOC122249918". The record is from RNAcentral. Lineage: Eukaryota; Metazoa; Arthropoda; Malacostraca; Decapoda; Penaeidae.